GAUGAACGCUGGCGGCGUGCCUAAUACAUGCAAGUCGAGCGAACAGACGAGGAGCUUGCUCCUCUGACGUUAGCGGCGGACGGGUGAGUAACACGUGGAUAACCUACCUAUAAGACUGGGAUAACUUCGGGAAACCGGAGCUAAUACCGGAUAAUAUAUUGAACCGCAUGGUUCAAUAGUGAAAGACGGUUUUGCUGUCACUUAUAGAUGGAUCCGCGCCGCAUUAGCUAGUUGGUAAGGUAACGGCUUACCAAGGCAACGAUGCGUAGCCGACCUGAGAGGGUAACCGGCAAAACUGGACAGAAGCACGGUCCCAGACUCCUAGGGGAGGAAGAAGGAGGGAAUCUUCAGCAAUGGGCGAAAGCUUGACGGAGCAACGCCGCGUGAGUGAUGAAGGUCUUCGGAUCGUAAACCUCUGUUAUUAGAGAAGAACAAAUGUGUAAGUAACUAUGCACGUCUUGACGGGACCUAAUCAGAAAGCCACGGCUAACUACGU
This 496-nucleotide ribosomal RNA is filed under the name uncultured bacterium. RNAcentral's name for it is "partial 16S ribosomal RNA". It matches the Rfam family "Bacterial small subunit ribosomal RNA", at positions 28 to 506 of the family's 1533-position model. The record is from RNAcentral.